GCCAGAUGUUGUGGCACAUGUCUGUAGUUCCAGAAAGUCGGGAGGCUGAGGCGGAAGCAGGCUUGAGCCCAGGAGUUCUGGGCUGUGGUACACUAUACCUACUGGGUGUUUGUAUUGAGUUGGGCAUCAAUAUGGUGACCUUCUGGCGGCAGGGGACCAGCAGGUUGCCCAAGGAGGGGUGAGCCAGCCCAGGUCAGAACCAGAAUAGGUCAGAACUCCACCUGCUUAUCAGUAAUGAGAUUGUGCCUGUGAACAGCCAUCACACUCCAGCCUGGGCAACAUAUUGAGACUUCAUUGCUU
Molecule: non-coding RNA, 300 nt
Organism: Otolemur garnettii (small-eared galago)
Lineage: Eukaryota; Metazoa; Chordata; Mammalia; Primates; Galagidae
Source: Rfam